This 253-nucleotide ribosomal RNA is filed under the name uncultured bacterium. Its description in RNAcentral is "partial 16S ribosomal RNA". It matches the Rfam family "Bacterial small subunit ribosomal RNA", at positions 524 to 776 of the family's 1533-position model. The record is from RNAcentral.
UACGUAGGGGGCAAGCGUUGUCCGGAUUUAUUGGGCGUAAAGAGCUCGUAGGCGGUUUGUCGCGUCGGCUGUGAAAUCCCGAGGCUCAACCUCGGGCCUGCAGUCGAUACGGGCAAACUAGAGUGUGGUAGGGGAGACUGGAAUUCCUGGUGUAGCGGUGAAAUGCGCAGAUAUCAGGAGGAACACCGGCGGCGAAGGCGGGUCUCUGGGCCAUAACUGACGCUGAGGAGCGAAAGCGUGGGGAGCGAACAGG